Molecule: long non-coding RNA, 2024 nt
Filed under: Xyrichtys novacula (pearly razorfish)
Lineage: Eukaryota; Metazoa; Chordata; Actinopteri; Labriformes; Labridae
Source: RNAcentral
CUUCGGAGGAGUUAGCGAAAUUCCAAUGUGUGCAGAUCUGCAAAAAAUGCAAAAUAACCCAUUAACCGUACAUUUGACAGAUACGCCCGCACUGACUUUUUUGUAGAUCUUAUUGAGAUACAUGUGUGUGUCAAUUUUUGUGUCAAUAUGACAAAGCGUACAGCCGUCAUGUGAAUUUUCACCUUAGGGGGCGCUAUGGAGCCAUUUUGCAUUUUAUUGUUUGGGCGACUUCAGAAUAUCGAAUUUUUCACCAGGCCCGGUCGUCCUGCCAAAUUUCCUGAGUUUUCGCCAGUGGGAAGUGGGCCAUUUUCCAGUUUAAAGCGGAGGAAAAAUAAUAACGAAAGAAGGAAACAUGCAGGAACAAGAGGGCUCUCGCAGCUGCUUAGCAGCUACGCUCGGGCCCUAAAGAAAGAAAGAAAGAAAGAAACAAAGAAAAACCACUUGGGGAAUAAUAGGGCUCUCGCAGCUGCUUAGCAGCUACGCUCGGGCCCUAAAGAAAGAAACAAAGACUAGGGCCCCGUUGGGGCACUGGCGGGCCCGAGCUGUGUCGCGCCCCCCCCCCAACGCGCUGCCUCCCCGUCCCAUUCGCGUCCUCUGGCCAUCGUCCUCUCUGGUGACGCCCAUCACUGCAAAGACCCUUUUCCUUCAUCGGGGUUUGCUGUUCUUCCUGCCAGUGCGUGUUGCUUUCACUUACACUUGCCACAGCCAGCCUCGUGAGUGCCUAGCCUAUUGGAUAUCACUGUCACCUACACAGGACAGUCAUUACCUUUCUAUUAAUACUUUGUUUUUUUAAUUUCACAUUAAUUUCCAUAUUGUAUAAACGACUGGAAAAAACUUGAGCCCCUGCCCCUGUAUAAUCAUGUGCACGUCCCUGUUCUCGCUCCAAGGUGAAUCUUCACUGCUCAUGUUCUCCUCAGAAGCAGUCACCUCACUCCCCUCAGGUUACUGUACACAUGCACCAACUGCCUGCUUCAGGUUUGGAUGGAGCUUCAUGGUUGUCUUUUGGAGAAAUGAACAGUCAAGUUGUGUUUGAAAUUUGAUUUUUUUCAGGGGCAAAAGGAAGUCUCUGCAUUCUUGUCAAAUAUGUAAACAGCAUGUUUUUGCAGGUGCUAAAAAACAGACUCUGAGUGUGUGUGUGUGUGUGUGUGUGUGUGUGUGUGUGUGUGUGUGUGUGUGUGUGUGUGUAUCCUGCAGUACUCUGUACUCCUGCAGUGACCAAAAAGACUUUUAAGAAUGUGGAUUUUUGGGUCAUCUUUGGCGCCCCCUAGAACUGCAGUACUCUUUACUCCUGCAGUGGCCAAAAUGACUUUUAAGAAUGUGGAUUUUUGGGUCAUCUUUGGCACCCCCUAGAACGUAAACCGUGGGGUGCAGCGUCAUGAUUUUUACAACUUUGAAUGGCCAUGGGCUGUAGAUUGGCCUGAGCAAAUUUGGUGUCAUUGGGACGAAAGCCUUAGGAGGAGUUAGCCACAUUCCAAUGUGUGCAAAUCGGCAAAAAAUGCAAAAUAGCCCUUUUACCGUACAUUAUACACAUACGCGCUCUUUGACUUUUUCGUAGAUCUUAUUGAGAUACACGUGAUUGUCAAAUUUUGUGUCAAUAUGACAAAGCGUUCAGGCAUGACACUCUACAAUGUGUGUUUUCACCUUAGGGGACAAGAAAAAAUGCACUUUUUUCUCCUGCCAUGGGGGGGCGCUCUUUUGGGGAGUAAAAAUUCCUUCACAAAUGUGUUGAUGGCUGGACAUUGCAUCAUCCUAGAAAACUUGGAGGCCAGUGAGGACAAAAAUUAAAAGUUAUAAGACUUUUAAGAAUGUGGAUUUUUGGGUUAUCUUUGGCGCCCCCUAGAACCUAAACCGUGGGGUGCAGCGGCAUGAUUUGUACAACUUUUAAUGGCCAUGGGGUGUAGAUUGACCUGAGCAAAUUUGGUGCCGGUGGAACGAAAGCCUUUGGAGGAGUUAGCGAAAUUCCAAUGUGUGCGGAUCGGCAAAAAAUGCGAAAUAGCCCUUUAACCGUACAUUAUACAGAUACG